This 329-nucleotide unclassified non-coding RNA is filed under the name soil metagenome. Its description in RNAcentral is "partial contains 5.8S ribosomal RNA, internal transcribed spacer 2, and large subunit ribosomal RNA". The stretch from base 1 to 120 matches the Rfam family "5.8S ribosomal RNA", at positions 35 to 154 of the family's 154-position model. The record is from RNAcentral.
GAUGAAGAACGCAGCGAACUGCGAUAAGUAAUGUGAAUUGCAGAAUUCAGUGAAUCAUCGAAUCUUUGAACGCACAUUGCGCCCCUUGGUAUUCCGAGGGGCAUGCCUGUUCGAGCGUCAUUAUAACCCCUCAAGCUCAGCUUGGUGUUGGGGCCUGCUGCACUGGCAGCCCUUAAAAUCAGUGGCGGCGCCAUCUGGCUCUAAGCGUAGUAAUUCUUCUCGCUAUGGAGUCCUGGUGGAUGCUUGCCAUCAACCCCCAAUUUUUCUAUGGUUGACCUCGGAUCAGGUAGGGAUACCCGCUGAACUUAAGCAUAUCAAUAAGCGGAGGA